CAUACGAGAUCUAGUACGGUCUCGUGGGCUCGGAGAUGUGUAUAAGAGACAGGGUUAAUAUUCCUGUACUGACGAGAUAUGCGUGGCAACACAAGCCUUGUUUCUGACGCUUCCGGCUAGGCAGACAAUGACCGUUGUCAUUGUUAACUUGAACAAGUCAGGGGAGUAUUGUAAUGAUGAGAACCUGAUUAAGCAAGGAUGAGCAUCUCGUAUGAGGUGUUCUGCUCAGGCCCGGAGCCCGUGAAAAGGGAACAAGGAAAAAUUCUCGUUAACUAUACCCAGAACCAGCACAGGUGCCCCUAGGUGAGUAGCCUAAGGUGUGAGGGAAUAAUCCAAGUAAGGGAAUUCGGCAAAUUAGCCCCGUACCUUCGGUAUAAGGGGUCCCUGCUUAUGUGUGUUAGUCAUGCGUUUGCAGGGUGCAAUAACUAGGGGAACCCGACUGUUUAACAAAAACUUAACCUUUCGCAAGUCCGUAAGGAUGUGUAUGAAAGGUGACGUCUGCCCAGUGCCGGGAUCUAAAACUUCUGUUCAAGGAAGCUAAGGACCGGUAAACGGCGGGGGUAACUAUAACUCUCUUAAGGUAAGCACUAAAGUUGCCUUAGUAAAAUCUGGCUAUAUGCUGGGAAAUCUCUGUAUCUUAUGUUAGGAUACUCCGUCGGUGACGACGAAGCGACCCCUAAAAACACAUAAGUGGAGAUAAUCAGCAGGAAAGACUUCUCGUCGAGAAGAAUCCUCAGAGACUAUACGCCGGACAUUUGAUGCUGAGGCUCAAAUGAAGAUAUAGUCCGACCCCAGCAGCGAUGUUGGGAGGUGAACAGAAAUGUUUGCCCGCCAUUGAAAGAUGGUUAGUAAUUCUUCGGAAUGAAAGUAACAAACGUGAGCGAAAUACCUUGUCGUUUGAUUGACGACUUGCAUGAAUGGCGUAACGAGGUUCCUACUGUCCCUACUUGGAAUCCCCUGAACUCUCUGUUCUGGUGCAUAGGCCAGAGACUCCUAGUGGGAAGUGAAGACCCCGUGAAACUUUACUGUAGUUUGUUGUUGCGAUGUGAGUGCCUCUGUGUAGCGUAGGUGGUAGUCGCCUGAAACUUGGCCGCCAGGUCAAGCGUAGACACCAAUGAAACACCACUCUCUGUUACUUACGUCGCUAACUCUUGAAAGAGAGGACAUCAGCAGAUGGACAGUUUGGCUGGGGCGGCACCCUCUUGAAAAGAUAUCAAGAGGGCCCAAAGGUUGGCUCAAUCCGGUUGGAAAUCGGAUGUGGAGUGCAAGGGCAAAAGCCAGCCUGAUUGGAUUUUCAACAACAAAAAAUCCAAACACGAAAGUGUGGCCUAGCGAUCCUCUGACGCUCUCUGAUGGGGCGCAGAUGUGACGGAAAAGUUACUCCGGGGAUAACAGAGUGGUCGCGCCCGAGCGCUCAUAGCGACGGCGCGUCUUGCUUCAUCGAUGUCGGCUCUACCUAUCCUGGGCGUGCAGAAGCGUCCAAGGGUGGGGGUGUUCACCCAUUAAAAGGUAUGUUAGCUGGGUUCAAUACGUUGUGAGACAGUAUGUGUAAUAUCUACUAGGAGUGUUCAUUGUCUGAGGGGAAGGAUCACUUAGUACGAGAGGAACGGUGGUUCGGCGCCUCUGGUUUACCUGUUGUCCGACAGGGCAUGCAGGGCAGCUACGCGCUGAGAGAUAAGUGCUGAAAGCAUCUAAGCACGAAACUCUCCUCGAAGAAGAGACGAUACGAACUCCCGUAAAACACGGGUUUGAUAGAGUUGGCGUGUAAGUGCGAAGGUAACGACGCAUUCAGCGUGCAACUACUAACCGUUCGGCUUUUGAAUC
Molecule: ribosomal RNA, 1824 nt
Filed under: sediment metagenome
Description: bacterial LSU rRNA
Rfam family: Archaeal large subunit ribosomal RNA
Source: RNAcentral